Molecule: unclassified non-coding RNA, 403 nt
Filed under: uncultured fungus
Lineage: Eukaryota; Fungi
Description: partial contains small subunit ribosomal RNA, internal transcribed spacer 1, and 5.8S ribosomal RNA
Rfam family: Eukaryotic small subunit ribosomal RNA (bases 1-73)
Source: RNAcentral
GCAAACUUGGUCAUUUAGAGGAAGUAAAAGUCGUAACAAGGUUUCCGUAGGUGAACCUGCGGAAGGAUCAUUAUUGAAUGUUACUUGAUAGGUUGUAGCUGGCUCUUUGAGCAUGUGCACACCUGUCUUGAUUCUAUUCAUCCACCUGUGCAUUCUUUGUAGUCUUUGAGGGCUGAGAGCAGCAGUUAACAAAUCAGUUGAAUAACUGGACAAGAGGAUUGUAAGCACAUCAGUGCAGCUUUCUUCAGUGAACAACAGCUUGUGAUCUCCCUUGGAGUCUAUGUUUUUUUAAUAAACCAUGUAGUCUGUUGAAGAAUGUGAUCAAUAGGCCUUUGUGUCUAUAGAACCUUAUACAACUUUCAGCAACGGAUCUCUUGGCUCUCGCAUCGAUGAAGAACGCAGC